GCAAAACGCGAAGAACCUUACCAGGGCUUGACAUGCAAGUGAAUAUAUAAGAGAUUAUAUAGUCCUUCGGGACACUUGUGCAGGUGGUGCAUGGUUGUCGUCAGCUCGUGUCGUGAGAUGUUGGGUUAAAGUCCCGCAACGAGCGCAACCCCUAUUGUUAGUUGCCAGCAUGUAAAGAUGGGAACUCUAGCAAGACUGCCGGUGAUAAAUCGGAGGAAGGUGGGACGACGUCAAAUCAUCAUGCCCUUUAUGUCCUGGGCUACACACGUACUACAAUGGCCGUAACAGAGGGAAGCAAAGUAGAGAUACGGAGCAAAACCCCAAAAGCGGUCUCAGUUCGGAUUGAAGGCUGAAAUUCGCUUCAUGAAGCCGGAAUUGCUAGUAAUUGCAGGUCAGCAUACUGCAGUGAAUACGUUCCCGGGGUCUUGUACACA
Molecule: ribosomal RNA, 434 nt
Filed under: uncultured bacterium
Lineage: Bacteria
Description: bacterial SSU rRNA
Rfam family: Bacterial small subunit ribosomal RNA
Source: RNAcentral